This is a long non-coding RNA of Bactrocera tryoni, 2376 nucleotides long. RefSeq lists it as uncharacterized. The record is from RefSeq and is a predicted model, not a curated record. The transcript has 3 exons. NCBI's taxonomy places the organism in Eukaryota, Metazoa, Arthropoda, Insecta, Diptera, Tephritidae.
GCAGAACAAGGCAGAGAAAACAAUCGAAUGCAGCGCGCGUCACAAACAAACCAACACAAACGCACGCCUGCACACAUUAGUCAAAAUCGCGUUUAUAUGAAGACGGACGUGGCGAGGUGAGGGUUUCGUGGCUCUUUGUGUGCCGGUGUACGAAUAAGUGCCGGUUUGUGACAGCUACUGUGACGGGUACGCUGGAAUACGAAAUUUGUGAAUUGCAAAUUAAAUAGCGCAAUCGAAGGCAAAGUACAUAAAUAAAUAAAUAAUUGAGUGAUGUGUAAAGAAGGCCAAAGUUAUCAAAGUGAAGCAGAUUAAUUGUGGACAGGGAACGCGUUGAUAGUGGUGAAAUGGGCUAUUCAACGCCUAAUGACCGCACUUUAAGUGGCAGAGUGGAGUAAUAAUUAAAUAUUUUGCCAAAAAACCUACAACUUGGAAGCAAGGAUAAUAAUUAGAUAAGAUUGCUACGCAAAACGACAAAAAAAUGAGCUAAACCCGAUAUAUAUUAAUACAAUCAUAAUCUGCUUGCACCAUGUUUGCGUGUAUGUGCAACGCGCACAGUUAUGACGUUCCGCUACGCUUCCAGCAAAAAAUGUCUUAACAGCGAUUUAGUGGCACAACCCAUCGCAGAUCGGCAUAACCGAAACAGAAGGUCGUGCUGUUUUUAGCCGCCGCAAAAGCACGCACCUCAACCACUAGGUGGUUUUACGUACCCGUUGCAUGACUGUCUGCUGUGCCGUCUUCAAACGGUAUGUGGAUUUAGCGUCACUUACGUAAGGACUUGCGAUAAAAAGUAGAAAAGCAGGUGCAGUGUGUCCCGCGUGGUCAUGUUGAGGCAGCCACAUUGCGACUGCUCAAAUUUCGUGGCGCGUCGUAAAUUCAAUUUGACAGUUUUUUCGGUGCGCGGCUCGAAGUGAAAUGCAAUAUAUCUGCAUGAUUGUAACGGUAAACAUUCACAGAGGCAAUUAAAGUGACGUUCAUAUUGGUGUUUGUGAGUUGCUACCAUUGUGAUGGACUAUACGCACCGCUGCUCCUGAGUGCCCACGCUCAAAUAAAUAAAUGUCAGUGUUCUUAAAAGUAUAAUAACUGUACUCAAAAUAAAUGUAUUAACUCACUUUAAUUAACUCUAAAUAAAUCGAAAAUAAAAGCAAACUAUAACAGAUAAAUCUUUGAAUUGAAAUCUCCGAGCAAAUUUCUUAAAACUACUCUACCACAUGCAAAGGCGUGCAAUCCAAAGCAAACGACUUAACUGUGGAAAUUGCAUUUGCCAUCAAUUCGCUUAAAGUUAUUACGCGUUUAAUCGAGUUUAGACGUAUAUCAGUGUAAUAAUCGAUUCAAUCUGUGUCGAGAACAAUUUAUCGUCGUAUGCUCCACUUUUACACGACUGUGACCGAUGCGUGUGAAGCACAGUUAAAGCAAAAACAGUGACUGAAACCAUACAUACAAAUAGUCGAAAAGGAAUAUUGGCAGAGUGUGCAAAAACAUAUAUAUCUGUAUGUGUGUUUGAUACUAGCGUUGCAAGCAAGCAGCGUAUGUGUUGAGCUCAUCACAUAAAAGGCUAUGAAAGCUUAAGUCUAACGAUAAGCUGCUAUCGUCUCACUAACUGAAAUUGGUUUAUUAAUAACACCACUACACCACUACAAGCGCGUUAGCUGAAAGCGACAUUAUCUGCAAGCAAUAUCAGUAAACUGAACUCACGGGAUUAUAACGCUUUACUAAAGUAAAUAACAGCAACAACAAUCAGUUUGUUGUAAAAUUACGAAAAUAAAAAAUAGAAAAACUAAUCAAGAAUAGUGCAGCAGUGAAUGGCGGAAACCAUUGCAGGAUUGUGGUUGAAUUUGACUUGCAAAAAGUUGCUACAAUGGCUGAGUUGAAGAUAUCUACCUGUUGGGUCCAGUGAUAAAUAGGUCAAUACGUGGCUGUGUAUUCAGAAAUAAAUGAAGAGUUAGCAAAUAUUUUAAAAAUAGAAUUAAAAAACAUAACUACUAAUUUUUUUAAUCCUAUAUCCCAUAAUUUAUUACGAAAAUUCUUAAUAUUGUAAAUAAUUUUUGUUUUAAUUAGCAAAUGAGUUUUCUGAGCACUUUAUAAUUUAAGCUAAAUAAUGUGCCAUAAGAGUAUGAAAAAAGUGUCACAACCUGCUUAAUACAUGGAUUUACAAUAAGAGUGAUAUAACUAAAAAAAAAACACCAAUUGUGAAGCAAAUUCAAAAGUUUUUAAUAGAUGUAAAGUACAAACGAAACAAAUUACAAAUAAAAGUUGGCUAAUGUUCACAAAAAAAAGCAAUAAUUUACAUAUACAUUUACACAUAAAUAUACAUGAUUAUCUACUUAUAUACUGUAACAAAUUAAUAAUAAUAAAGUAGUAUUUUGAAUAUAAUAUUAA